UACAGAGGGUGCGAGCGUUAAUCGGAAUUACUGGGCGUAAAGCGUGCGUAGACGGUUAUUUAAGUCGGGUGUGAAAGCCCCGGGCUCAACCUGGGAAUUGCAUUCGAGACUGAAUAGCUAGGGUACGGUAGAGGGAAGUGGAAUUUCCGGUGUAGCGGUGAAAUGCGCAGAUAUCAGGAGGAACACCGGUGGCGAAGGCGGCUCUCUGGGCCAUUACUGACGCUGAGGAGCGAAAGCGUGGGGAGCGAACAGG
Molecule: ribosomal RNA, 253 nt
Filed under: uncultured bacterium
Lineage: Bacteria
Description: partial 16S ribosomal RNA
Rfam family: Bacterial small subunit ribosomal RNA
Source: RNAcentral